Molecule: transfer RNA, 66 nt
Filed under: Microcotyle sebastis
Lineage: Eukaryota; Metazoa; Platyhelminthes; Monogenea; Mazocraeidea; Microcotylidae
Description: tRNA-Gly
Source: RNAcentral
AUAUGUAUAGUAUAUUUAUAAUAUUUUGUCUUUCCAAGUCAAAGAUCUAAGAAUUUAGUACAUAUA